AUCCAGCUGACGAGUCCCAAACAGGACGAAACAAACGUCCUAGAU
Schistosoma rodhaini is the source of this 45-nucleotide non-coding RNA. The record is from Rfam. Lineage: Eukaryota; Metazoa; Platyhelminthes; Trematoda; Strigeidida; Schistosomatidae.